UUCAAUACCAAUUUAUUUCUAAAUUAUAACUAAAAAAGUUUAUUUUCUACUAUUUAUUUUACGAAAUUUAAGUCUUUUAACUGAAGUGUUGAGUCUUAUAACUAAUUUUUUUUUAAUGUAUUUUGAUAUGUCCGGACCAUUCAGAUUUUGAAUCUAAUAAGCGGCGUCUACUGUAUAUAAAAAAUAUAAUAAUAAUAAUAUCUUUCAACCUGUACGAUAGUCCGUGGCACCAGUUCUUAAGACAAAUCCACAGAUAUCUGUGGACCACAAAUUGGUGUCAACAUUCAAUAACCAUAAGAGUUAAACACAUAGGUAAAACAUUAGAUUUAAUUAAGCUGAAGUCUGAAAUAUUUAAUUAUUUAGAUUAUUCAAUAAGGAACCUUGCAAAAUGCAAACAGACAACGCUGUAUCCAUUAUCUACACACCCUCACAGGUCACAGCACCAUCCAUGGCCACAUGGUAGAAAAAUGUUUUCUGUGACAACCUCUUUAUGAUUUUCUAGACAAACAAAACAUCGAUUUUGGUCUUCAUCUACACAAUAAAACAAAAAAUUACAGAAUUAAUGAAAAAAAAAUCACCCCAAAAAGUCCAAACCGGUGGAUGUUGAUUGUUGGCCAAUAGAGAUUUUCAACAUACUAUAAAACUCUCAAUAAAAUUAUUGGUCCGAAUAUUCAGUCCAAAAAACGGAAAAUCCAUCUGGAUGAAUAAUAUCCAACCAGAAAUUCUAGCCAAUUCUUGUAUAGCCACGAAACCUCCAACAUUGUGGAAAUCGUUUGGGAGGUCUGGACUUAUUUCUGAUGGCAAAUGAGGAUAUAAUAUACAGACCUGACUAAAAUAAAACCAACAUCCAAUCAGUCUGCAUUCGGGUAAAACUCUUUACUGCAUUGUGCAUUGCGGUUUAAAGUCAGUAACAAUUGGUAGAUUUUCCCAAUCAAAAAUAGUGAAUGACACCUUCGUCUUAAGCGCAUAAAUAUACUUGGGAUUAUGAAAAAAAAAUUCUAAAAUACCAUUUUAAGUUAUUAAAAUUAUUGUGUAAAUCAAACUACUUUUACACGUACAACAUAGGCAGCUGCAGCUCAGUCGUCAGCUCUAUGACGUCACACGGCUAUUCAUCAACUCUCAUAGUCACAUUAUCUCGUUGAAUAAUCGUUUAUUUUAAUUCGGAUUUUUACCAAAACGUUUUUCAUUGUGUUGAGUAAUGAGUACUUGAGUGUUGACCAUGAUUAAAGAUACUAUCGUGGUGUUGACUAGAAUAAUACACCAAUUAACUUAGAAUUAAAAAAAAAAAAACUAAAGUUGUGAUGUCCUUUAAUGCUGCUAAAAAAUGACCAAUCUCUAUAUAGUCUAUAUAAUGACCUGGCCCAUGGUUAUUGUGGCUGGUACAUAAUAAAUAAUAAUUGGAUCAUUCUCGACAUGGAUGCAGUCGAUCCACAACACUGUUCGUAUUUUGAACAUCUUAACUGCCUAGAGCCAUAAUAUUUUAAUUUAUAAUUUUUUAUGUACAUUUAUUAUUUUAUUUAAAUUAACCUUUGAUUGGUGGAUACAUGAUUUUGAACAUAAGUAUAAUCUUAUAAUCUUGUAUAUUUACAUAUUACCUAUAUUAAAUUGCCUCUAAUACCUGGAAUUCUUUUAGAUUGCAAGUUAUUAUCUUCAACAUUUCCCAAAACAUGAGCAAUGUUAAACACAAUUGGAGAUCGAGAUGUAGAACAUGGUGUUGGAUCAUUUUGU
Molecule: long non-coding RNA, 1728 nt
Organism: Rhopalosiphum padi (bird cherry-oat aphid)
Lineage: Eukaryota; Metazoa; Arthropoda; Insecta; Hemiptera; Aphididae
Exons: 3
Source: RefSeq, a predicted model, not a curated record